Molecule: transfer RNA, 77 nt
Filed under: Deltaproteobacteria bacterium
Lineage: Bacteria; Pseudomonadati; Myxococcota; Myxococcia
Also listed under: 1 other name
Description: tRNA-Thr
Rfam family: tRNA
About the family: Transfer RNA (tRNA) molecules are approximately 80 nucleotides in length.
Source: RNAcentral
GCCCUCGUAGCUCAGCUGGUCAGAGCGCGUCCUUGGUAAGGACGAGGUCACCGGUUCAACUCCGGUCGAGGGCUCCA